This is a non-coding RNA of Cinara cedri, 854 nucleotides long. The record is from the annotation of a GenBank genome assembly. NCBI's taxonomy places the organism in Eukaryota, Metazoa, Arthropoda, Insecta, Hemiptera, Aphididae.
AUUAUAAAUUGAAAAAAAGUGAUAUUUCUAAGCCGAUUUUCGAACAUCUGACCAUUCCAAACGAAAGAGCAUACUUUUUUCUAUAUAAUGGCAUAUUCUUUAGAGAUCUUUUCUAAAUAGUUAAAAUUUUAUGAAGAAUAUAGACAAAUUUGAGUAUCGUUCGAUAGGGAAUUUUCACGGUUUUUUCAAUUAUAAUUUGAAAAAAAGUGAUAUUUCUAAGCCGAUUUUCGAACUUCUGACCAUGGCAAACGAAAGAGCAUACUUUUUUCUAUAUAAUGGCAUAUUCUUUAGUGAACUUUUCUAAAUAGUUAAAAUUUUAUGAAGAAUAUAGACAAAAUUUGAGUAUCGUUCGAUAGCGAAUUUUCACGGUUUUUUCAAUUAAAAAUUGAAAAAAAGUGAUAUUUCUAAGCCGAUUUUCGAACAUCUGACCAUGGCAAACGAAAGAGCAUACUUUUUUUCUAUAUAAUAGCAUAUUCUUUAGAGAACUUUUUUAAAUAGUUAAAAUUUUAUGAAAAAUAUAGACAAAAUUUUAGUAUCGUUCGAUAGCGAAUUUUCACGGUUUUUUCAAUUAUAAAUUGAAAAAAAGUGAUAUUUCUAAGCCGAUUUUCGAACAUCUGAUUAUUCCAAACGAAAGAGCAUGCUUUUUUCUAUAUAAUGGCAUAUUCUUUAAUGAUCAUUUCUAAAUAGUUAAAAUUUUAUGAAGAAUGUAGACAAAAUUUGAGUAUCGUUCGAUAGCGAAUUUUUACGGUUUUUUCAAUUUUAAAUUGAAAAAAAGUGGUAUUUCUAAGCCGAUUUUCGAACAUCUGAUUAUUCCAAACGAAAGAGCAUGCUUUUUUCUAUAUAAUGGCAUAUUC